This 592-nucleotide ribosomal RNA is filed under the name Hierophis cypriensis. Its description in RNAcentral is "Dolichophis cypriensis partial 12S ribosomal RNA". Lineage: Eukaryota; Metazoa; Chordata; Lepidosauria; Squamata; Colubridae. The record is from RNAcentral.
AAAAUAAUACAAACGGCGUAAAGCACGACUAAAAUAAGUUACAGACUAGAGAAUGAAGCUAAACUGGGCUGUAAAAAGCCAUAAGUUACAAUAACCACAUCUAACACUAAACAAAUUCCACUCGUGAAAGUCAGGAUACAAACUAAGAUUAGAUACCUUACUAUGCCCGACUGUAACACAACAAUUAAACUACCAAUUGUUCGCCAAAUAACUACGAGUAAAAACUUAAAAUUUAAAAGACUUGACGGUACCUCACAACAGCCUAGAGGAGCCUGUCCAUAACCGAUACCCCACGAUUCACCCCACCCCCCCUAGCCAACAGUCUAUAUACCGCCGUCGCCAGCCUACCUUAUGAAAGAAACAAAGUAAGCCAAAUAGUUCAUGCACUAGUACGACAGGUCGAGGUGUAACUAAUGGGGGGGCCAAGAUGGGCUACAUUUUCUAACAUAGAAAAAACGAAUAGACUUUGAAAGAAGAAACUGAAGGCGGAUUUAGCAGUAUACUAAGAACAAAAUACCUAGUCGAAAUCAAUGCAAUGAGGUGCGUACACACCGCCCGUCAUCCCUGUUAACCAACCCACACCCAUACAUAA